This 375-nucleotide ribosomal RNA is filed under the name Triticum aestivum (bread wheat). Its description in RNAcentral is "partial small subunit ribosomal RNA". The record is from RNAcentral. Lineage: Eukaryota; Viridiplantae; Streptophyta; Magnoliopsida; Poales; Poaceae.
AUGUAUUGUGCGCUCACGCAUUCGGAGGUACCGGUGAGUAAUAAUAAGAAAAUUUGGAGAUCAAAGAUACCAAACAAAGUUAAAGUCUUCAUGUGCUGUCUUCGUAGGGGAGUUGUUCUAACCAAAGACAACCUCGCACGGUGCACUUGGCAAGGGAGUAAGAAGUGUUGUUUUUGUACUCAUGAUGAGACCAUCAGACACCUCUUUUUCCAUUGCAACUUUGCACGUUCUACGUGGUCAGUCAUCCAAAUAGCAUCAAGUUUAUAUCCGCCCACAAGUGUUGCCAAUAUUUUUGGUCAUUGGUUGGACGGUAUUUCAAAUAGGUUCAAAACGCUAUUAAGGGUGGGAGUGUAUGCCUUACUAUGGUCGCUUUAG